Molecule: ribosomal RNA, 253 nt
Filed under: uncultured bacterium
Lineage: Bacteria
Description: partial 16S ribosomal RNA
Rfam family: Bacterial small subunit ribosomal RNA
Source: RNAcentral
UACAGAGGUCCCAAGCGUUGUUCGGAUUCACUGGGCGUAAAGGAUGCGUAGGUGGCGAGGUAAGUCGGAUGUGAAAUCUCCGAGCUCAACUCGGAAAUGGCAUUGGAAACUACCUUGCUCGAGGGUUGGAGGGGGGACUGGAAUACUUGGUGUAGCAGUGAAAUGCGUAGAUAUCAAGUGGAACACCAGUGGCGAAGGCGAGUCCCUGGACAACUCCUGACACUGAGGCACGAAAGCUAGGGGAGCAAACAGG